RNAcentral lists this ribosomal RNA (468 nucleotides) under uncultured bacterium. RNAcentral's name for it is "partial 16S ribosomal RNA". It matches the Rfam family "Bacterial small subunit ribosomal RNA", at positions 28 to 507 of the family's 1533-position model. The record is from RNAcentral.
GACGAACGCUGGCGGCGUGCCUAACACAUGCAAGUCGAACGGAAAGGCCCUGCUUUUGUGGGGUGCUCGAGUGGCGAACGGGUGAGUAACACGUGAGUAACCUGCCCUUGACUUUGGGAUAACUUCAGGAAACUGGGGCUAAUACCGGAUAGGAGCUCCUGCUGCAUGGUGGGGGUUGGAAAGUUUCGGCGGUUGGGGCUGGACUCGCGGCUUAUCAGCUUGUUGGUGGGGUAGUGGCUUACCAAGGCUUUGACGGGUAGCCGGCCUGAGAGGGUGACCGGCCACAAUGGGACUGAGAUACGGCCCAGACUGCUACGGGAGGCAGCAGUGGGGAAUAUUGCACAAUGGGCGGAAGCCUGAUGCAGCAACGCCGCGUGCGGGAUGACGGCCUUCGGGUUGUAAACCGCUUUCGCCUGUGACGAAGCGUGAGUGACGGUAAUGGGUAAAGAAGCACCGGCUAACUACGUG